AUGCAUUAUUCCUGGCUUUUUCUAUUAGUUUUGUCAUCUCAUCAUAUGCAGCUUUGCGUUGAUUUUUGAGAUGAUAUACACGUGCCAGACCUUGAUGUGCUCUUGUAUGUUUGAUAUUGAGUGCAUUCAUGUAACAGUCGGCAGCAAGAUCCAGCUUAUCACAAUCAACAUAGACGCUCCCUAGAUUAUUGAGGGCUUGUCCUUUCCUGAGGCCAUCUGAAGGGCAUCUAAGAGCUUCCUCCAGAAGUUCAAUAACAUACAUUGAUGACUCAGAAUCAAGACUAGAAUCUGCCAAAGCAUAUGCCUUAAGGAAAAAAGCUUCAAAUGAUCUCUGAAUCGAAAUGGACUCCUCAGCCUUAGCAAGGGCUUCUUCUCGAUGGCCAGUGUCAUACAGAAUCCAUCCUUCAUAAACAAGCCUUUCAUGCUCAGAAGCAGAAAAAUUUCUAGCCAACCGCAAACUACGCAUGGCAGCCUUUUGACAAUUUAACCGUAAAAGUAGAAGAGAUUGCCGAAAACGUAGGAGGCUCUUCCCUGGGUCAUUUGCCAGCAUAUGGUGUACAACAGC
Molecule: unclassified non-coding RNA, 565 nt
Filed under: Hevea brasiliensis (rubber tree)
Lineage: Eukaryota; Viridiplantae; Streptophyta; Magnoliopsida; Malpighiales; Euphorbiaceae
Source: RNAcentral